Molecule: ribosomal RNA, 1216 nt
Filed under: Clostridioides difficile
Lineage: Bacteria; Bacillati; Bacillota; Clostridia; Peptostreptococcales; Peptostreptococcaceae
Description: bacterial LSU rRNA
Rfam family: Bacterial large subunit ribosomal RNA
Source: RNAcentral
GGAGCCGUAGCGAAAGCGAGUUUUAACUGAGCGUUCAGUUACUUGACGUAGACCCGAAACCGGGCGACCUACCCAUGAGCAGGAUGAAGCGAAAGUAAAAUUUCGUGGAGGUCCGAACCCACGAGCGUUGAAAAGCUCGGGGAUGACUUGUGGGUAGCGGUGAAAUUCCAAUCGAGCCCGGAGAUAGCUGGUUCUCCCCGAAAUAGCUUUAGGGCUAGCCUCAAGGUGAGAGAUACGGAGGUAGAGCACUGAAUGUCCUAGGGGGUAUUGCACCUACCGAAGACUAUCAAACUCCGAAUGCCGUCAUCUUAUACUUGGGAGUCAGACUGUGGGUGAUAAGAUUCAUAGUCGAAAGGGCAACAGCCCAGAUCGUCAGCUAAGGUCCCUAAAUGUAAGUUAAGUGGUAAAGGAUGUGGGAUUGCACAGACAACCAGGAUGUUGGCUUAGAAGCAGCCACUCAUUCAAAGAGUGCGUAAUAGCUCACUGGUCGAGUGAUCCUGCGCCGAAGAUUUCCGGGGCUAAAACUUACUACCGAAGCUACGGCAUCAGUAAUGAUGGGUAGGGGAGCUUCCCAUACGGGUUGAAGCAUGACCGGAAGGACAUGUGGACAGUAUGGGAGUGAGAAUGUUGGCAUGAGUAGCGAGAUGUGGGUGAGAAUCCCACAGGCCGUAAACCCAAGGUUUCCAGGGGAAGGUUCGUCCGCCCUGGGUUAGUCGGGACCUAAGCUGAGGCCGAAAGGCGUAGGUGAUGGACAACAGGUUGAUAUUCCUGUACUACCGAUAACCGUUUGAGAGAUGGGAUGACACAGUAGGAUAAGCUAAGCACACUGUUGGUUAUGUGUGCCCAAGCAUUGAGGCAGUCAAAGUAGGCAAAUCCGCUUUGAUAAUGCUGGGAUGUGAUGGGGAGCGAAAUUUAGUAGCGAAGUAGCUGAUUUCACACUGUCAAGAAAAGUCUCUAUCGAGGUUAAAGGUACCCGUACCGCAAACCGACACAGGUGGGUGAGGAGAGUAUCCUAAGGCCAGCGAGAGAACUGUUGUUAAGGAACUCGGCAAAAUGACCCCGUAACUUAGGGAUAAGGGGUGCCACCAUCAGGUGGCCGCAGAGAAUAGGCCCAAGCGACUGUUUACCAAAAACAUAGGUUUCUGCUAAGUCGCAAGACGAUGUAUAGGAGCUGACGCCUGCCCGGUGCUGGAAGGUUAAGGGGAUCUGUUAGAGC